This 927-nucleotide ribosomal RNA is filed under the name Thaxterogaster austrovaginatus. RNAcentral describes it as "LSU rRNA". It matches the Rfam family "Eukaryotic large subunit ribosomal RNA", at positions 40 to 953 of the family's 3401-position model. Lineage: Eukaryota; Fungi; Basidiomycota; Agaricomycetes; Agaricales; Cortinariaceae. The record is from RNAcentral.
AUAUCAAUAAGCGGAGGAAAAGAAACUAACAAGGAUUCCCCUAGUAACUGCGAGUGAAGCGGGAAAAGCUCAAAUUUAAAAUCUGGCAGUCUUUGGCUGUCCGAGUUGUAAUCUAGAGAAGUGUUAUCCGCGUUGGACCGUGUACAAGUCUCCUGGAAUGGAGCGUCAUAGAGGGUGAGAAUCCCGUCUUUGACACGGACUGCCAAGGCUUUGUGAUGCGCUCUCAAAGAGUCGAGUUGUUUGGGAAUGCAGCUCAAAAUGGGUGGUAAAUUCCAUCUAAAGCUAAAUAUUGGCGAGAGACCGAUAGCGAACAAGUACCGUGAGGGAAAGAUGAAAAGAACUUUGGAAAGAGAGUUAAACAGUACGUGAAAUUGCUGAAAGGGAAACGCUUGAAGUCAGUCGCGUUGGUCAGGAAUCAACCUUGCUUUUGCUUGGUGUACUUUCUGGUUGACGGGUCAGCAUCAAUUUUGAUCAUUGGAAAAAGGUCAAGGGAAUGUGGCAUCUUCGGAUGUGUUAUAGCCCUUGGUUGCAUACAAUGGUUGGGAUUGAGGAACUCAGCACGCCGCAAGGCCGGGUUUUUAACCACGUACGUGCUUAGGAUGCUGGCAUAAUGGCUUUAAUCGACCCGUCUUGAAACACGGACCAAGGAGUCUAACAUGCCUGCGAGUGUUUGGGUGGAAAACUCGAGCGCGUAAUGAAAGUGAAAGUUGAGAUCCCUGUCGUGGGGAGCAUCGACGCCCGGACCAGACCUUUUGUGACGGUUCCGCGGUAGAGCAUGUAUGUUGGGACCCGAAAGAUGGUGAACUAUGCCUGAAUAGGGUGAAGCCAGAGGAAACUCUGGUGGAGGCUCGUAGCGAUUCUGACGUGCAAAUCGAUCGUCAAAUUUGGGUAUAGGGGCGAAAGACUAAUCGAACCAUCUAGUAGCUG